UAAAAAAUUCAAGUUUUGAAUUUUUGUAAACUGAAUUGUCUUUUUCAAUUUUACAGAUUUAGACCGAUUUUUUAGAAAAUUGUUCAAAAUACUUUUAUUUCUUUCUCUCUCUCCUUUUUUUUCUCUCGUAAUUUUUUUUCCUCUCCGAAAAGAGAGACAGAGGCGGCCCGCCUCACCUUUAUCCCGGCGCUCUCGCUCGCAUCUGGGCACCAUCCGCCCUCCUCGCCUCCAACCCCACAAAAGCGCUGCCCUUUAAGAUGUCCCUCCGCGCCUCCGCCUUAUGCACCCUCACCUGCGCGCUCACCCCCCACCCUCCUCGCCUCCGGUUUCGUUGAGGCUACGCGGCGAUUCUCAAUUUUUUUAUCAAUUUUUUAAAAUUUCGGUCUGAAUCUAUAACAUCAAAAAACGAUAAUGUAAUUUUGUAAAAUUUCAAAACUGGUGGAUUUUU
This 448-nucleotide long non-coding RNA is filed under the name Ananas comosus (pineapple). Its description in RNAcentral is "long non-coding RNA (ACOM_LNC002861)". Lineage: Eukaryota; Viridiplantae; Streptophyta; Magnoliopsida; Poales; Bromeliaceae. The record is from RNAcentral.